Molecule: ribosomal RNA, 253 nt
Filed under: uncultured bacterium
Lineage: Bacteria
Description: partial 16S ribosomal RNA
Rfam family: Bacterial small subunit ribosomal RNA
Source: RNAcentral
UACGUAGGUGGCAAGCGUUGUCCGGAAUUAUUGGGCGUAAAGCGCGCGCAGGCGGUCCUUUAAGUCUGAUGUGAAAGCCCUCGGCUCAACCGAGGAGGGUCAUUGGAAACUGGAGGACUUGAGUGCAGAAGAGGAAAGUGGAAUUCCAAGUGUAGCGGUGAAAUGCGUAGAGAUUUGGAGGAACACCAGUGGCGAAGGCGGCAUCCUGGACCGGUAUUGACGCUGAUGAGCGAAAGCCAGGGGAGCAAACGGG